UACCUUCUCCUUGACACUCUAUAUUAGCCUUUACGAUAAUUAUUUUUUUUUUCCAAAUGAAAUAAAAUUUAACAAUAGCAAUUAACCAUUACAAACACAAUAAAAGUACCAUUAAACAAUACAUCCGAUAACCAUAAUAUAGAUUGAGAAGAAAAAGAAAAAGGCACAACCAUGUCCCAAAAACAAUUAGAAUGAAACAAUUCAUCAUC
This 209-nucleotide long non-coding RNA is filed under the name Carica papaya (papaya). RNAcentral's name for it is "long non-coding RNA (CPAP_LNC016603)". Lineage: Eukaryota; Viridiplantae; Streptophyta; Magnoliopsida; Brassicales; Caricaceae. The record is from RNAcentral.